This 490-nucleotide ribosomal RNA is filed under the name uncultured bacterium. RNAcentral describes it as "partial 16S ribosomal RNA". It matches the Rfam family "Bacterial small subunit ribosomal RNA", at positions 28 to 507 of the family's 1533-position model. The record is from RNAcentral.
GAUGAACGCUAGCUACAGGCUUAACACAUGCAAGUCGAGGGGAAACGAUGAGAGAGCUUGCUCUCUUAGGCGUCGACCGGCGCACGGGUGAGUAACGCGUAUCCAACCUACCCAUUACAGGGGGAUAACCUUGCGAAAGUAAGACUAAUACCCCAUGGCAUUUUAUGGUGGCAUCAUUAUAAGAUUAAAGAUUUAUUGGUAAUGGAUGGGGAUGCGUCUGAUUAGCUUGUUGGCGGGGUAACGGCCCACCAAGGCAACGAUCAGUAGGGGUUCUGAGAGGAAGGUCCCCCACAUUGGAACUGAGACACGGUCCAAACUCCUACGGGAGGCAGCAGUGAGGAAUAUUGGUCAAUGGGCGAGAGCUUGAACCAGCCAAGUAGCGUGCAGGAUGACGGCCCUAUGGGUUGUAAACUGCUUUUAUAGGGGAAUAAAGUGAGCUACGUGUAGUUUAUUGCAUGUACCCUAUGAAUAAGGACCGGCUAAUUCCGUG